This 41850-nucleotide long non-coding RNA is filed under the name Aquilegia coerulea. Its description in RNAcentral is "long non-coding RNA (ACOE_LNC001919)". Lineage: Eukaryota; Viridiplantae; Streptophyta; Magnoliopsida; Ranunculales; Ranunculaceae. The record is from RNAcentral.
UCUACAUAAGUUUAAAAUUCAUAUUCAUAAAUAAAAAUAUGUCCAAAGCCAUCAACAUACAAAAUCUAAAGAUGUCUAUCAACUGCUAAAGAUUAUAGCCAUAUGUAUAAACCAAACAUGUCCAAAACCAUAAAAACAUAAAAAUCUAAACAUAUGCACCAUCUGCAAAAGCUUGUAGCCAUUCCCUACGCAUAGCUAAACGUCGAACCAUAAACUUUUUUGCUUCGAUAGGGUGCGCCAUAAGAUAGUCAAAUGCAUUUUCUAAGAAUUUCUCCUCAAAUCCUUCCAUGCUAGUUACCUCAGAAUACAACUUUUCAACAAAGCUAUCAUCAACUAAAGCUUCAGUCAAUCUCCCAACUUGUUCAGUCAACCCAUCAACCUUGGAGAGAACUUCUUCCCAUGGCCUACUUCGUUUUCCGCGUUUAUUUCUUUCUGAUGAUUCUUUUCCAUUUGUGACAUCAUCCACAUUUUCAGACUGAACAUCUGAGAUAGAUUUUGCAAAACUUCCAGUUGCUUGAUCCUCCCCACAUACAAGCUUCAAUUCCUAGUAUUGCUCAAGUGGGACAUUAAUUAAAUCUUUAGCAUAUGAAUUAGCCUGCAAUAUUAUUACCAAAUAGAUAUAUAUACCAUCAUGAAAGCAAUAAAACAGAACAACCUUAUCAAUACUUUCAUUUUAGAAACUGAGAAAAUGUAUAUUAACUAAGUCUCUUUAUCAUCAACUGUCAAUGGUAUUAAAUGUACACAACAAAUGAAAAGGGUAUUUUUGAAAAUAAUAUUACAAUUAAAUGCAAAUAAACCAUUUUCCACCACUUUCUUAAUAUGCGUGAAAACGCCAAUCAACCUAUAAAAGUGGGACGAAUGGAGUAACAUUAAGCAAGGAAACCCCAAAAGUAUAAAAACACCUAAGUAAAAAAAAUUCCAUUUAAGAAAUUCAAUCAACCUGGACCAAAAUUUGAACUAAAGCAGACAAUUAAGUCAUGUUGAAGUUUCGGGAAUGUCCGAGAACAUAGGAGCAGCAAGUGUAGGGGUUGAUGUGAACACAGAGAUUAAUGUAUACAUGCAAUUCUUAGACUUUGCGUUAGACUUUCAAGUUUAAUCAGGACAAUACAGGCAAUUGUUUCAGCUAGCCGCAGGUCUGAUAGGUGUGUGAUGUGUAACUCUGCGGAGGAACAAAUUAAUGCCUAGCCUUUUCCAAUUACAAUAGAACUUAAGUGGGAGAAAAUUAUGCAUGUUUUAUGCAUAGCAGUUCUCUUCAGUACUCAUUACCAUUAAAAUGAGUCUGUAUCACUUGAUGUUAUUGGUACAUAAUAACAUAUAAAUUUCAGCAUUGGAUCUGCUAUAUGAUGAUGAUGAUGAUGAUGAUGAUGAUGAUGAUGAUGAAUGAAGAUUAUAUGAUGACGAUCUUGCAAAAAAAUACAAUGUUGCAAAAAAGAAAAAAAAAGGUAGAGCACUGAAUUUAUAUGUACCUCAAUAAAUUCCAUUGCAACUUCUUUUCCGACUUUAAUUAUUUUCUGAUCAUCAUCCCAACCCCAACCACUUUUACUGCGAAGAUACGCUAUCCUUGAGUAUUUCUUCUUCACCGUCUUCAUACGAGAGUCAACGUUAUCCAUUGUGCAUAACGUUUUACAGUAAUCCGUGACGGCUUCUGCAGCUUUUGCAUAAACAGCCUUUGGAAAAGAUUUACCAUGUUUUCCCCAUUUUUGGCACAGUCGGCUAGAAAUGAAAUCAAAAACUUGUCUGUUUUGGCGGUCCACAUAAAGUUUUUCUUUCCUUUCUUUGAGGUUUGUGCUUGAGAUUCUUCCAUUCCUAAAUAAUAACAUAAACAAACCUUUUCAGAGUAAAGACAAAAUGCCGAGUAGAACAAACCAACAAAAUUUUAUUGACUAACUGUAAAUUUAUAUAAAAUUUCGUGUAGGAAUCUACAACUCAACAGAUCAAGGGAAGUCAUUUUAAGUGUACUACAAUUCAUGUACUACAAUAUUGUCACCACUAUUCAAACAUAACUUCCAUGAACAUGAGCUCAAAUAUUUAUGAAACACAAAUGAAUAUCUAAAGUUAUUUUUAAAUAAUAUAAACAAAUUACUGUACUGCUGAAGGUGUUUCGCAGUUACAUGCCACAACAAAGAGACAACAAACAAUGUACUAACAACGCAAACUAUAGAAAACAAAAAUAAUAGAACUAAUACACAAAAAUAUGGUGGUAUCCACUCUAACUGCAUCCCCCCGAAUCUAUACACAUCAUCCAAAAUACCAACACUAGAAGUGUGUGUAACCAAGGAACUGUCAAGGAAAAUAAGUCAUUUGUAUUUUGUAUGUAUGCAGGUGGAAGUACAAGACAUUCUACAAGGGACUACAACCUGUGCAGAUAUAGUGUACAUUGUGAGGUGGCCACUGGCCAGAUAGGUCUGGCAAAGGGUUUUCUCUCAUAUAUUGGCAAUACUGCACCUAGUGUCUACAAUUUCAUUAUUGUUAAAGAAAUGAGAGACUGAUAUGGGAGUUGGUACCAUAUGCAGUCCUAUAAUAGAGCAUAUAUAUGGAGGGUUAGAAAUGAGGUGGUGUUCAUGGGGAAGACAACUAUAGUGCAACAGAUAUGGAUGCUGAGGUACUUAUAGUACUAGCUAGGUCUUUCCAUCUUUGAUAAACAGCUCAGGAAAGAUUACACUUUCAGAGAUACGAUGGUGGCUGGUGGACAACUUGAUUUGAGUAACUGUAUAAGUUUAGGUCUUUUGAGGAAGCAGUCAAUCUGUGACAGUAAGCCCUCGGCAUUGAACUUGUGCAAGUUCCUGCACUUAUUGAUAAUCUUUUGUUAAAGUACCAGCUACACCUACACGCUACACCUACACCACCCGUACGUAAAGCCAAGCCAGCAGGCCACCAGUAAAAGUGUAGAAGGGAAGACACUACACAUGGAUUGACAUACUGAAAUAUCAAAAAGUUUGUGUUGUGCGUAUAUGAGUCAUGACUCAUGACCCUGAGUCUUCUUUACCCUUUGGUGAUCUUUAAGGGUUGUUAACGAAUCACCAACUCAGGAUGAGUAAAUGACAGUAAUGCCCAAACUUAGAGACAGACAAUUGGUAUCACAUUAAAUUUUUUUUAUCGAUAAGGAAAACUGAUUACCAUACGAGGAGGGCUAGCAUUUAGAGAUUCAAAACUGUAACACAUGGUUCCCCAAGUCUAUCCUCAUCAACAUCCACCAGGCCUAAAUGAAUAACCAAUGAACACAUACAAUAUAAGAGCAUUCCCAAUGGUAGGUUUUAGCACACUUUUAGUUAACUUUUAGUGAAAACACUUGCCAAUGGUAGCUUUUAACACACUUUUCAAGCAAAACACUUUUAACUUCUUGGCAAAUUUGCCAAGGAGUUAAAAGUGCCACGUAGGAAUCCAUCCGCCACAAUUAGUGCGGUAUGGAUCCAUACCCCACAAUAAGUGCGGUAUGGAUCCAUACCCCACAAUUAGUGUGGUAUGGACUCAUCUAAAAGAAGAUCCAUCCGCCACAAUGAGUGCGGUAUGGAUCCAUCCGCCACAAUGAGUGCGGUAUGGAUCCAUACCCCACAUAGAUUACGGUAUGGAUAAUCCACCAUUGGAAACACUAAAACCCUUUUUUCGCUAAAACCAUUGAAAACCCCAAAAUUCCUUAAAACCAUCCUAUGUGGCACCACUAAAAGUGUUUUACCAUUGGGAAUGCUCUAACUAUCCCAAUCUCUUUUAGCGCAACAAUAGACCAGAGGUAUAGAGUUGGUUUAGUAUGGAGAACUCAAGACGGCACACAACAACGUUGUUGACACUAAAUUACCACCAGUCAUUGUUAGUGAGAUUGUCUUUCAAAAUCUUCUAAAUUCGCCUAAAAUUGAUUGAAUCUAUUGUUUUUUCAAACAAUAACGCAAACCCAUUUCUACACUUGAAUUACCCAAGCCAAACCAUAGCAGUAAAAAUUAUUUAAAAUAAUAGAAAGAAAAUAGCAGAUUGUGAUUGUGAAUUUUCAUACCGUUGGAACAACACUAGCAAGUAGCAACACAAGCAAUCACAAGUGCCUUAGUUCCUACCCUAACCCCUUCUGCAAAACCAAAACCAAAACCAAAAUCAAAAACAAAAUUGAUAGAAAUGAAGAAGGGGGGUUUAGGGGUUUGAGAAUUGAGUAGUAAUAAGUAAUAACCUUGAACAUAGUUUUUGGAAUUAAGAAUUUGUAAAUCUGGAAUCACCCCCAAAGCAUGUUAGCAAAGAGGAGGAGAGAGAUAGAGAGAUGAAGAAGAAGUACAAGGAAGAAGGAAGAAGACACGGUUGAGAGAGAAGGAAGAAAAUGAUAGAUCGAAUAUGAAUCAGUAAAGUUGCAAAAGAUGAAGAACUGGUUAAUGGGUUUUAUAAUGAAAAUAAAGAGAGAAGAGAGAGAAGAAGAACACAACUAGUUUGAGAGUGAAGAAGUAGAAGACUGGUUUUCUUAGGUUUGAUAGAGAUGGGAAGCAGAGAAAAGAGAUCGAGACAGAGAGAGAGGAGAGAAAAAAGAAAGCGGUUUCCAUAAAAUAAAAAAGGUGUCCGCUUUCCUUAUUUUCGGGGAAUCUGCUUUCCAAAGUUUUAGUUUUCCAAUUCGAACCAAACACCCGGAAUUUGUACUUUCCAGGAAAACGUUUUCCUUUCCAACGUUUUCCUUUCCCACCUUUUCCCUUGAACCAAACAUACCCGAUCAUGAAAACCUAUCUAAAUGUUAUAAAUGCACAACCUGCUUAAUGGGCAUUUUUUAUACCUCGUACACAGUACACUAAAUUCAACAAAUUUUACAUAGUUAGUAAAUAAAUUCAUUUAAAAGUGUCUUUUACUCUUCCCACUACCCACAGGCCCAUGGACCUAAAAGCUGAUAUCAGGCUUCCAAAUUCUAACCCAAAAUAAACAGUUGAAAUGUUAAAAUAGUAAAUAACCGAAAAAUCAAGACCAUUUCUUAAAAAGAGUAAGCAAAAAACCAGAAAAAACCCUCAUACCUUUUUAUUACCCCACGCACACUCUGUUUAAAGAAAAAAGCAGAGUAAAACAGAGCAGAAAAGAACAACAGAGACCAAAUAAAAAAAAAAACCCUAAAACCUUUGUAUUUUCUCUUCCUCUGUUUCAUAAAUAAACCUUGUAUGAAGAAUUUCCAUCUUGUUAUUCUUCAAUUCUUGUAUUAAUAAUGGAAGAAUUAAGAACAGAGUCAGUUUUACAAGUAGAUCAAUGUUUAAAGUCUUUACCUUUAGCACCAACUUAUUAUCCAACCCUAGUUGAAUUCCAAGACCCUAUUUCUUAUAUUUUCAAAAUUGAAAAAGAAGCUUCUCAAUAUGGGAUUUGUAAAAUUGUUCCACCUCUUCCACCUGCUUCAAAGAUUACUUCGAUUACUAACUUUAAUCGAUCACUUUCGCAAACAAAUUCUAGUUCUGAUUCUAAAACUUUGUCUACAUUUACUACUCAAGAACAACAGUUUGGAUUUUCUCAAGGGAAAUCUAAACUUGUUAAGAUGAAUUUAUUGCAGAGUAGAGAUAGUUGUAGUUUUAAGCAAUUUGAAGCGAAAGCGAAGGAAUUCGAGAAGAGUAUUUUGAAAAAAAGUGGAAAGAAGAAGAAGAAGGAUUUUUCUGAGUUAGAAAUUGAAACCCUUUAUUGGAAAGCUUGUUUUGAUAAACCCCUUUUGAUUGAGUGUGCAAAUUGUAUACCUGGUUCAGGUUUUGUGCCAAUUAAUGGGAAGAAAUUGCGGGAAGCAGGGGAAGCGUCAACUGUUGGGGAGACACCAUGGAAUAUGAGAGGUGUUUCGAGAGCAAAUGGGUCGUUGUUGAAGUUUAUGAAGGAGGAAAUACCUGGUGUUACUUCACCAAUGGUAUAUUUAGCAAUGAUGUUUAGUUCAUUUGCUUGGCAUGUGGAGGAUUAUGAGUUGCACAGUUUGAAUUAUAUACACUUGGGAGCAGCCAAGACAUGGUAUGCAGUGCCCAAGGACGCGGCUGUCGCAUUUGAGGAGGUGGUCAGAGUACAUGGAUAUGGAGGAGAGGUCAAUCCUCUUGGUAAGUAUCUAAUUUCAAAGAAUCCCCUGUUUAUGUUAAUUAAACUCACAUUAUCUCGAAGUCAAAGUAGUCUAGCCGUCACUCAAAAAAUCAGAUGAACAAAUUGGACUGUGAAUCAAGUUUACUGAUGGUUUAAAUAGUUUGAUGCACUUAAAUAAGGAAUGCUCUAUAGUCAUACUGACAUUUUAUGUCGUAGCAACCAUAAUAUUAAGGAUGUGAAUACCAUCCACAUCAAUUUGCCGGUUUGGAAAACUGACAUUCUGGUUAGUGAAUUAUUUGUUCACAAAGUUCUUAUUUCAUUUCAAUAUCAUCUUUAAAUGGAAUAAUGAUUUGAUUUUCCAGUUAAAUAAAAAAAAUUUGGUUAUUGGAGUAUACAGUCUUCUGGGCUUUAAGUAUAUACACUUCAUUCUAAAUUCAGUUCCUGUUAUAAGUGACUGAACAUGGAUGACUUUUGACUUUUCUAUACUGGGUUUCUUUGAUGCAUAAAGUUGUUUUUUUUUUUUUUAAUAUACAGGGUCUGUUUUGAUUGGGAAAUUCAUUCCCGGUAAAAUUUUGAGGAAUAUAUUUGUAAUUCCAACAUAAGAUAAAAAGAAAUCAUAACAUUCUGAUCUCCUUUGGGGUCCUCUGAAUCUUCUCCUUCGGUUUGAUAUUCCACCCUUUGACCUCCUUAUUUACCGGUAAAUUGGUUUACCAGUCUGAAUCAAACAGACCCUAGUAUUACAAUCAUUUUUCUUAAUGGUACCGUAGGUUGCUUGACUUCAUCUUGUUCCAUUUUCAAUGUGUUUCUCAGUCUAGGUUUCUGGGAAUGAGAGGUAUGAUAAAUUGCUUAACCAUGAGCCUGUAAUGGUAAUGGAGCAUGCAUAAAGGGCUACUGCAAUCACAAACACAGUACCCAAUUGGGUCACAAAUUACGUUAUGAUAGGUCAGCUUGCCACCAUCCAUUAGUAAUGUCUAGGAUUACUAUCUAAUUAUCCAUUUUCAUUAGCGAAGUUGAUAGAAGAGUCCAUGGGAGCAUCAUACGUAGACACCAAAAACUAGCCAUAAUCAUCUGACCUUGAACAUAUAUCAAAUAGAAUAAUACCUUCACUCGAAUGCACCAUGUCAAUAUGAAGGAAAAAUCUAAUUUCUUCUUGGUAUGAAAAGCUUUACAGAUGAACUUUCCACGCCAUAUCAACCCUUCUGUGAAUAAAAUCAUUUAUUAGACUGUGCUGCACUUAAUGCAGAUCUAUUAAUAGAGAGAACUAAUCAAGAAAAACAACCUAGAAUCCUACCAAAAUGGAGACUAUUAGGUAAAGAUCUUUGGCAACAUGUAAGUCAACGAUGUAUGUAAAGACCAAGAAACAAAAAAGAUUACCAAAGAUGAGAUCAAUCAACCCAUCUAUUUCCUGCAAACGGAGUUUAGAUAACCUACAAAUUUUAGGUGCUUGCUUUUCGGCAUGGAGAUUCCUGCGAGGAUUCUUUCCCAGACCAAAAUGUGGGGCGCCUCUUUUGAUGAGGACUGCUGAUUAGUCAUGUUGUAGGUUGUAUUACACAUUAAACCCAGUAGCCUUCCCCUGCCUUUUCUCUGCUUAUGAUCCUCUCUUAAAUUAGUAUUAUACUAAUUUUUGUCUUUUGUGUUAUGAGUCCGGGGAGCUGGGUAGCACGGACUCGGACACGGAUACGGACACGGACUCAGACACGGACACAACGAUACGACAAUAUCUAAAAAUAUAGGACACGGACACGGCAUGGACACGGGAAUUAAAUAAUUUUUUUUUAAUAUAUAUGUACAAAACAUGUAUAAAACACUAAAAUCAAAUGAGAUAUCAUAUCAUAUAUUCAUAUUUCAUAGUUAUUUCAAAUGCAUAACGCCACAAACGACAAAAUUAUCAAAACAUAAAUCCUUCCCUCUAGACUCUAGUUAAUUACUUAAUUAGUUAUCUUCACCAUCCAAAUCCAAUAACUCAACAUCAUCAUCAACUACAUCAUCACUUGUGCACAACAUAGCUUCCAUUUCCGGCUCAUCAAGAGAGAGGUCUGCCAUUUCAAGAAUCCCAAUAUCAUUCAAAGUAUCAAAUCCAUCUCCUCCCACGUCCCACAUGCUACUCUCACCUUGUUUAUAUUCCGAAGAUUGCCUUGAUAGAAGACGAAGGUUUGAAUGAACAAAUACCAAGUCUUCCCCUCUUUGUGGUGUUAUCUUGUUCCUAAUCAAAGAGUUGAUAAAGGAGUAUGUACUCCAAUUUCUCUCACAACAAGAAGAAGAACAAGGUUGACCAAGUAAUUUCAAGGCUAGAUUUUGAAGCAAUGGUGUCGAAGAUCCAUGUGUAACCCACCACAAAUCCGGAUCCAUAUAUCCACGAUCACUAAUCGAAUCACUACUAGCAAACUCCCUCAAAGAAGCGGAGAACUUAGCAAACUCCGUGUUAGCUUCUCUACGAUCGAGGGUGGAAGGAAAAUACCUCUCAAAGCAUUUUUGCCGUUCGUCUGAAAUCUCCUUGUCCUUAUGUGGGGGAACCCGAUUAGGUGACUCACUAAGCCAUUCAACACUAUAAUACCUAUAUCAUUAUUUAUAGUAAACCAUUAAUAUAAAAAAAAAAUGAAGACAUGCAAGUAAAAUACAAAUAUAUAAGUAAUAGACUAAUAGUGAUAUGAAUAUUACCUAGGGUUCAAAGAGUGAGCCAAACAAUGAAGAGGUGUGUUACUUUUAGCCCAACGAUCCACUAGUAUAGUAUGCACAACGGAAUAAAAUGACGAAUCCUCGUCAUCUAGUUUUCCCUCAUGGCGGUAAAUAGCUAUCUUCACAGAUUCUAUCAUACUGUCCCACCAAUCAUACACCAAGUGAAGACAUGGUCUAUCGGUAUCCGCCUUCCUCAAUAUAUCAUAUAUAGGCUCGGUGAAAGAAAGUAUGUAAGCAAUCUUAUCCCACCACAAAUCAUUCAAAAUCUUCUCCUUGAUCAUGGCAGCUUUAAGAACAUCAUCCUCCCUAUAGUUUGUCCAAGUUGGACUAACUACCAUAUUCAAAAGCCCUUGUUUGAUCUUCUUGAAUCUUCUAAGCAUGAUAAUGCUUGAAGCAAAGCGAGUUUCUGCAACCGCAAGCAUCCUCAAUAUAGUAUGAGUAUUAAACAUUGACAACCGCAUAGAAUGAUUCAUAAUGAAGUUCUUGAUUGUCAUGACUUCUCCAGUAAUUUCUGUAAUCCAACUACACUCUUCAUAUGUUUCCGCAUUGCUUUGUGUAUUCUUUACAGCACAAAUAUUCUUCAAAGCAAGAUUCAAAGUAUGCACCACACAAAGAGUCCAAAAAAUAUGAGGAAAUUGGUUUUCAAUUAACAACCCUGCACUCCUACAUACAGGUGCAUUGUCUGUAAUCACUUGAACUACAUUAAGAGGCCCCAACUGAUUGAAUGACUUCUUUGAGCAAGUUAGAAAUAAAAAACUUAUCUUUGUAUUCACCCUCACAAUUGACCGCUUGUAAGAACAUUGGACCACUUUCACUAGCCGCCAUAAAGUUGAUAAUUGGCCUUCUUUGAGCAUCUGUCCACCCAUCACUAACAAUGCUCACACCUUUCUCCUUCCAAGCCGACUUAAGAGGUUCAAGCAACCCCUCAAUGUGUUGUCUCUCGUUUUGUAAAAGUGUGGUUCUCAAAGCAUUAUAACCAGGAGGAACAUAACCAACAAGAUUUUUGCUAUUCGCGGCUCUAGUAUACGAGCGAAUGUAGUAUGGAUUCUUUGCAACAACAAACGACAAACCUGAUGAAUAGAACAUUCUUGCAAUUUCACAAUCUAAUUCAUUUCGAGCUUCCAUGUUAAAAGCUCUCUCAAGAGGAGAGUCACCCACUAUCUUCUUCCUCUUUGAUGGAAGAACAUCGAAACCUUGAAGACGAGUUCCAAUUGAAGUUCCUGUUGAAGCCGAAGAUGAAAAAGAAGUAGUUCGACUAGCGGAUGGUGGAAGUGGGACUUGUUUGGGUAAAGAUUGUUUCUUGCUCAAUUCAAACGCUUCAACUUCUCUUUGCAUCAUGACCAAAUCAUUGUUAGAUACUUUGGUACAUUUAAUAGUUCCUGUACCACCAAUCUUCAACAAAUGCCCUUUUAAGCGUGCAUAAGAACUCGUAAUAGUUUUAUUGCAAUAAGAACACAUGAAACGGACAUUUCCUCCUCCCUGUACCUUCUCUAUAACUUGUACAUACUUCCAAAGAGGAUUCUUGGUGCUGUUGUUGGAUGGUUCUCCACUCAUGGUUUCAACAAUCUAGUAUCCUGUAUCCCCAAUUCAGUGAAAAACUGAAAAAUCCCCAAUUCAGUGAAAAAAAUCCCUAGAAUCCUAAAUGGCUAAAUCAAUAAGAAGAAGAACAACAACAGAUUCAGAAUUUCAGAGAAGUGGAAGAAUGACUGAAGGAGAAGAAGAAAUUUAUAAAAAUAAAUUAUAUACCUUGAAGAAGCAGCAGUAUAGAUCAAUGGAGAAGUGGAAGAAUGACUGAAGUAGCAGAUCGAUGAAGAUUGAAGAAGCAGCAGAUCAACUAACACUCUAAUUAGUUGAAGAAACAACAGAUCGAGGACGAGAGAGAAGUUUGAUCGAGAGAAAACAGAAGUUUGAUCGAGAAAGAAAAUAGAGAACAGUUUGAUCGAGAAAGAAAAGAGAGAGAAGUUUGAUCGAGAGUGAAGAGAGAGAAGUUUGAUCGAAAGUAAUAUCUGUUGUCUAAAGUCAGAUCCGUGUCCCGAUCCGUGUCUGAUCCAAUCUGCACGUGCGACACGGCACGUGCGUGUCAGACACGUGUCUGAGCCGUGUCCGUGUCCGAACCGUGUCUGACUCUGCUACUCCACCUAUUUUUGAAGUGUCCGUGCUACCAGCCGGGGAGUCGAUUUUCUUACUCUGUUUGGGGUUACAGUACUUUCUUAGGUCUGCUUCUUUAACAUGGGUAGGGCCUGAGUCGGUUAGUGAUCAUCUAUUGAUGUGGCGUCAAUUAGGGUUCCUGUCUCAUUUCAGAAAAAAGAAUUUGGGGUAUCAUUCCGUAUGUGUAUGGGGUAUUUGGCUGGAGCAGAAUCGGAGAAAUUUUUGUCAUGAAUAUAUUAUGCUUGUUUAUCUCUCAAAAUACAGAGUUUUCUUUUUGUUUUUCUGUGAUGUAGGUAUAUCUGUAGGUCGAUAUGCUUGCAAUUGCUCUGUCUUCCUUUCUUCUUGUAGUACUUGACUACUUGGUUGCCACGGAACAUCUUUCAUUAGUCCCAGAAGUUUGUGGUUGUCGUUUUGGUUUUUAUUUUAAUCUAGUUGUUUUCAUUCAUCCUGUCUUGGUAUCAGAGCCGGCUCUACUGUAUAGUAAAUGUUUUACAUUCUUAAUGUUUGUCAACUGAUUGUAAUUAUGUCCUUUUGUGGCAGUUACUUGUGCGUCUCUUGCUGAAAAGACCACCCUUAUGUCCCCUGAAGUACUUGUUGGGGCUGGAAUUCCUUGCUGCAGGUGGUGUUUAAUAACUCUGUUAUAUUCAUGGGUGCUUAGAAGAUUUGCUUGGGUCUGUUCAUAGUAUUUUGUGCUCACCCUAUUCAUUUUUCUUCAUCAGAUUGGUGCAAAAUGCUGGAGAGUUUGUAGUCACAUUCCCGAGAGCCUAUCAUUCUGGAUUCAGCCAUGGUGAUACAUCUGGCUCUUUUACAUAUUUAUUUUAAAUGUAUUUCUUCAACCAAAGAAACACUAUCUUUAUGACAGGUAAUUGUAUUGGACUAUUGGAUGAUUAGACUCAGCAAACAUCUUACAUUUAUGAUGUACUUUCUGAUGGGUGUUAGACUAUUUUGAAUUAUGUUCUUAGAUAAAGGGAAUACAUUUUUGAAUUUUGUUCAUAUAGGAUUAUCUUUAAUAUAUAAUUCUGCAUUUCAGUUCAUGAAAAAUAUUCUGCUGACAUGCAUGUUUGAUAUUUUCUACCGGUUAAGGCCUUGGAAAUAUUGUUUCCAGUUCUAGGCCUUGUUUUGCUUUGAUAUGUGUUUCCUAGAUUAAAUGACAUAUAAAUGUUGCUAAAAGAAUGAUAAACACCAAUUAAAAUUACCAACACACUACCCAGUUAGGGUUUUAAUUCCACAAAAGGGGAAGAAAAACUUCUGCCACAAGGCUAGCUCCCUUACAUCAACAAAGCCCAACUGAACAUAAAUCUCUCAAACGAGUGCUGCUUCCCCACUCCUUCCAAAAUUCCGACCAAAUGGCAGAUGGAUUAUUUAAUUGAAAUGAUGUAUCCUCAAUUUGAGGUGUUUUGAAGCUAAAGUGCCUCUUACUAAUGUUGGAAGUAAGGGUAUUGUAGGCUUUAGGUGUGUGGUUUAAAGCUUACAAAGAAGCUAACUCUCUCUAUAUAUAGAGAGAGAAACCACAUAGACUUUAUAUCUAAGCUAUGUGGGACUAAACUACACACCUAAAGCCUACAAUACCCUUACUUCCAACAACUAACGUCUGUCCAAAUGUUUCUGCCGAUGUCUCACCAUACCGUUGUCGUGAAAAACAAGAAGUAUAGGAGGUGCCUAAAUAGCAAAGCACAAAUAGUGGGAAAUAUAUUUGGUAACAACUCAUUCCAUAUCUGUAGUGUAAAAAUUCACUCCUGGGAACAGAAUGCUUCAGCAGUUCAGCUUGUAACUUAUCUUAUUUCUUGUUGUACUGCUGUCAAUGAUGUUUUCGGGAUUUCAUUAUUUGUUAACAACUAAUCAUAGGCUUAUGUUUUAACACUUAUUGGUAAUGGCAAUUGAGUAAAUACAGAAAACCUACUGUUCUUCAUGUAAUUAGAGGUUCCCAUUCUUAAUUUUUUUUUUCCCCGUAUUUUAGGAUUUAAUUGUUCAGAGGCUGCUAAUAUUGCUACUCCUGAAUGGUUGAUGGUUGCAAAAGAAGCUGCAGUCCGUAGGGCUUCAAUUAAUUAUUCUCCAGUGGUGUCUCAUCUGCAGCUACUUUAUUCACUUGCUUUGUCAUUUUGUUCAAGGUUUGCUCUCCCACCAUUGAAGAAUAUUGCUCCAUAUAUCCUGUUCAUGAACUUUUCCUUUUAAUUACUUCUCAAGCUCUGGUCCUAUUGAGAAUGUUCAAGUUUGAUGAUCAGAACUAUAUAUACCCUACUUAAGUUCUUGGAGUAGUUUGGACCAUGGAAAAAGAUGGAUGCCAAGUCUAAACAUUAAAAUUUUGUUCCCCGAGAAAACCAUAGAUUCAUCAGUCAAACUACUUAUGAACUAUAAUUAUGCUGUAACAUGGCAUCUUCUGGAGUGGAUGCAUGUGUUUCCAUUUUGUUUUUGCGGAUUUGAUCAUUAGUUAAUGUACCUGGUUGAGAAACUAGGACUUUUUUUAUACCAUUGGGCUGCUUAUUUCUAAACUACCUAGGAGAUGAGGCCCUCAAUACGAGGACAACAAAUGUUGACGAAAUCUCAUUCCAGUUUUUAUUAUAGUUAUAUGGUCUCUCUUUUUUUUAUUGUUCUUACUAUUUUUUUUUUUUUUUUUGCAGGAUACCUUUGAGCAUCAGCACUGAGCCACGCAGUUCUAGACUAAAAGAAAAGAAGAAGAGCGAGGGAGAAACCAAGGUCAAAGAGCGCUUUGUGGAGAGUGUAAUACAAAAUAAUGAAUUUUUGCAUGAUCUUCUUGAACAAGGAUCUUCUUGUGUACUUCUCCCGAAAAAUUCUUUGGAUAUUAUAUGUCCAAAUGUAAGUCCUGGGUCCCAAGUAGAGAUAUAUCCUAGGUUUUCAGUCGGUGCAUUCAGUCCAGAGGAAGAAAUGGAAAGGCUUGAAAAUACGGUUUUGGAUGAGAUCAUGGUAGAUAAGAAUACACAGAACAGGGAAUUGAAUGGUUUCCGUUCAAUGAAACAAUAUUCUAGUUGUGUCCGUAAAGGAAAUAGACCUCCCUCACUUUCUGUGAAAAAUCCCCAAAAUGAUAAUGCUGAUUUUAGAACUUACCCUUCAGAAAGACGGAAUACCAACACUGAAAAAGAAUGUGCAUCUCAGACUGAUGGUUUAUUGGAUCACGAAAUGCUUUCCUGUCUGACAUGUGGGAUAUUGAGCUGUGCAUGUGUAGCUGUUGUUCAACCUAGGGAAGAAGCUUCCAAAUACAUUGUGUCUGCUGAUUGCAGCUUAUUUAAUGACUGGAUUGUUGCAUCUGGAGCACCUGACAACGAAUAUAGUAAUGCUGAUCGGUUUGCAAAUACUUCUGAACUGAACUCCUGCUCAGGUAUGUUGCUUUGAGACUAAUUCUUAUCUUUCCUAUUGCCACUGAAUGCAUCAUUUAUUCAAAUGACAACAUUAUACUGCAACCUGGUUGUGCAUGUGACACUCUAAAUGGCGACACAUGCAAAAAUCUUGGUCGUCAUUGUGUUUUGAGAUGGGAAAUUAAAGUUGCUGCAGUAAAGUAAUUUUAGAUUUUUAGAUGUGCUGUUAAUCACUGCAACUUGGUUAUCUAGAGAAAAAAAAUAAACUAAUUAGGUAAAAGGCUGUACACCAUGACGAUUAUGAUUUGCAUUCUGUGAUUGGGCUGUUGUUCAUCGAGGGAUAGCCUUGCGUGUUGACCUCUAUGGUUGUGCACAGUUGUACCCAACUAUCCAACUCAAAAUAUGGCACGUAAGUGUCACCAUAUAAGAAAAUCUUUCUUACCAAUUGUUUCAAUAUGAAAUGUAUAUCUCAAGACUACUUAUUUUAGCGCAGGACAAGUGGAGAAAAGUGAUUACAAUGAUGUAAAUGAUGUUACGGUCCAGUGCAGCAGCUACCAAGCUGAGGUUCUAAAUGGAAGGGUUGAAGUUAAUCCAGAUAUUGAUGCCCAAAAAGCCAUUUCCUCUCUUAAUCUGCUUGCUGCUGCCUAUGGAAAUUUAUCAGACUCUGAUGAUGAAAAGGCCGAAUCCGAGAUGCCUGUGAGCGGUGAUGAAAAUGACACAGUUUAUAAUCAAAAGGAUAGGUCUCGAUCUUCUGAUGAAACAUUCUCUUCCGCAAGAACUUUUGCAUGUGCUAGUUCUGUAGAUCCAGGGCAUCAUGAUGAUAGAAUGAAGAGUAUGUUUCACUCUUCAUCUAGUAUAGGUGGUGGAAGUGAAUUUUCUUCGCAGAUUUCUUGGUGCCCAAGUGCUUGUAGCAGAACUCAUGUUAGAGCUACUGCGAAUGGUAGAUAUGAACAAAAUUUGGAGAAUUCGCUUCAAAAUAAAUUGGUAAGUACAAUACCCAAGGUAUCAAAUUGCUUAAGCCUAGAAAGAUCAGCAUGUGAUCAUGCCGAUUUGUCAACGAAGUCUACCACGUUGGAUUCCAUGCCGAAUUGUUACCCAGGCCUCUCUAGUGCAAGGAACAAUUGUUGCAGUCUUGACAUACCAACCAAAGACAUACAAAUACCUUUCAAACAAAGAUCUGGUGAGGAUUCUUCCAAAGGGCAUAUGUUCUGUCUUGAGCAUGCUGUGGAAAUAGAAAAACAACUUCGAACAGUAGGAGGGGUGCAUGUGCUGCUUGUAUGUCAUCCAGGUUAGUUGUGGUACGUUUUACAUUACAUCACAAGGCAUUACAUUUCUUUUAUGCUUCCCAACAACCGUACUGCUUGUUUUUUUUAUCACUAUCUAUUUAUUUAUUUUUUAUAGCAUGCUAUAAGAUGUUAAUUGGGAGUAUUUAUUAUCUUCAUUCCCAUUCUCAUUGGUGGAAUUUCUUGUGAAUAGACUAUCCUAGAGUAGAAACAGAGGCUAAAGUGCUGGCGGAAGAACUAGGAAUCAAUUACAUAUGGAAGCACAUUCCCUACAGGGAAGCUACCAAAGAUGAAGCAGCAAGAAUCCAAUCUUCUCUGGGUGAUAAGGAAGCUGUUCCCAGAAAUGGAGACUGGACUGUAAAGUUGGGAAUUAAUCUGCCUUACAAUGCCAGUAUCAGCCAGUCUCCAUUCUACAGGAAGAAGAUGCCAUAUUCAAUUGUAAGCAAGGUGUUUGGCUGCAGUUCUCCCACCAACUCAUCAGAGAAACCUAAGAUAUUUGGGAAGAGGCCUGGGGUAAAUAAUAAAAUAGUUGUUGCGGGCAGAUGGUGUGGUAAGGUCUGGAUGUCUGACCAGGUUCACCCAUACCUAGCUCAGAGAGCCUGCCAAAAAGAGGAAACCUCAGCAAGCAUCCACUCUCAAGCAACAUCAGAGGCAAAGGUUAAGAUUGAGAUCAAACCAGAACUUAGUGAUGAGAGUGAACAAACAUCGACUUCUCAAUGGAAGUCCCUUCGAACCUUGACCACUACAGUUACUAGAAAAACUGAUAAGAAGAGGAAAGGCACACUCAAGAAAGGGGCAACCAAGAAACGCAAAUGUUCUCAACCAGACAGCCCAAUUGAAGCUGUAGAAGACUCACCUACACAUGAUUCCCCUCCACGGUGUAGGAGAAUUCUCAGAACUGGACAGGCAAACCAGAAGACAUUGCCUAUUUCCAAGAAACGUAAAUGUUCUCAACCAGACAGCCCAAUUGAAGCUGUAGAAGAUUCACCUACACAUGAUUCCCCUCCGCGGUGUAGGAGAAACCUCAGAACUGGACAGGCGAAGCGGAAAGAGGAGGCUGCUGGUGGACGCGGCAAACGCCUGAAGAAAAAGUCUUAUAAGCUCUUGGAAGAUGAAGAUGUUAAACCAAUAAAACAAGCCAAGAAGAAAAUUACGAAGAAGGCUUCAACCUGCAGCGAGGACAAAAUAAUAAAGGAUGAAGAGCAAGAGUACCAGUGCGAUAUAGAAAACUGUACAAUGGUUUUCAGAUCGAAGCAAGAUUUAAAGUUGCAUAAGCGCAACAUAUGUUUGGUUGAAGGUUGCGAUAAGAAGUUCUUAUCUCACAGGUAUCUGGAGCAGCAUGAGCGAGUCCACAUGGAUGAUCGGCCCCUAAAGUGCCCAUGGAAAGGUUGCAGGAUGUCAUUCAAGUGGGCAUGGGCUCGGACAGAGCACAUUAGGGUGCAUACAGGUGUCAGGCCUUAUGAAUGUCAAGAACCAGGUUGCGGUCAAACAUUCAGGUUCGUUACAGACUUUAGCCGUCACAGACGAAAGACUGGCCAUUCAGUGAAGAAGGUUGUAGAUGAUUAAUUUGGUCGGCAACAUGUGUGAAUUAAUACUGUCAGAAUAACCAGAUAUGACUACUAACAGAGCUCUUCUGUAAAUUAUAAAAUGGAUGGUUUGAGUCUAUUAGGGCCCUGUGGCCCCUUCAUUAGGCAAUGUAUUCGGUAUAUAAAGCUUCAUUAAUUAAAACAAAUGUAUUUGGAUAUCAAAACAGAUUUCAAUAAUAUCAGGUCAUAAUUUCAUAAUACAGUAGUAGUGAACUUGUACUCUGAAGGUGAGAGUUCAAGAUGGCAGAUUGUUGUACACACUAGUGAGAGUCUGUCCUUUCUGUAAGUGUGUUGUUGUUUAUGAGUUGAAGAUAUCAGUGUGUUCUUUAUUACUUUGCUAUUGCUUGUUUACUCGUUUGAUAUUAGUAUUAACACUUGUUGGGGUUUCAUGAGGCUGGAAUUCAAACACAAGGAAAUCCAAAAAGCAUAUGCUUACUAGCAUAUGGUCUAUAACCUCAAGAAGCAGAUAUAUUUGUUCCAAGAGCCUAGAUAUUGGAUGUUAUAUAGUCUGCAUAAUCAUCUGAUGCAAAUGGAUGAAGUUCUACUUGGCAGGGUAUGCUUGUCAGUUUGUGUACAACUUUAGCUGUUUCUACUAUAUAUUCUACAAUCUCAAGCUGGUUGUUGAUUCCGAUGAAUCUUUCAACUUGAGCUGUUUGUACAAUAUAUUCCAAAAAUCUCAUACUAAUAACAAAUCUGAUUGCAAAGAGAUUCAAUACUGUACAUGUAUUUGGUUAACCCAUCAACAAAAGCACUAUGCGGGCAACAUGCGGGCUAUCUUCUGGUAUCAAAAGCUACACUAAAUAAAGUAUUUCAACAUCAUCAAGACCACUCUCCAGUCCCCAGCAUUGGCAUCAUGAAUGAAUUAUCAAUAAAAUCAGAAAACAUAAACACUGGAUGAGAAUAUAUGCAGCAUCAAGCCAUCUCACAGACGAUCUUUUUCUUCGUAGGGAGAAAAAUUAAUGUUUCUACUUUCAGAUAACUCCAAGUUGGUAAUAGCUCUAGAGCAAUAGAACUCACGCUUUGGCAUCAUAUGCACGAGCGGCAUCUUAAAAAGAUCGUUGUUGCUUCUGAUGAACCCCUCGAGGACAAACAAGCAACUGUGAUGCUUACUUCUAUUUCUUUUGCAAAUGUGAAGGUCCAAAUAAAACAUACAUAAAAAGUUCUGAAGUUGAAAUUUGUUAGCUGAAGAAUCAAUCAAUAAUUAGAAAAAUCAAAACAUACUGUGCGGAAAUUAACACUAAAACCGAAAAACCGAUCCGAACACAACCGAACCGAUUCAAAUCAGUUAAUCAAAACAUCAACUAUGCUCCAUUCAAAAUAGUCAAUCCUGUUUCAAUUCUAAAGGUCGUCUAAAGAUUGAAAGUACUAAUUAUAUAAAAAAUUUGCAAGCUACUACAUGUCAACGCUAAAUUCAUAAUUGCCUGUUCUACUCUGACUCUCUGAGAACAUUCAAAAUAUCAAGUACAGUAGUGAGCUAGGUGGCAUCUUAAAUUUAAAAACUGCCUAAAGUUUUUUUUUACCUCUGCAUGCAACAACAAGCUAGCUUUGAGUUGAGAAAGCUAUUGAAAAAAUCAUGGGCCAUGUGCAAUGGGCCAGUCAAAGAUAAAAGGCUUCUAAAAUAAAAAAAACACUUGGGUUUUGUAUUCUUUUUCUCUUCAAGUCUCUCUGAAGUCUGAAGCGAAAAGCUAAAACCAUCACAACUUCUUCUUCCUUCUUGAUCAAAAUUCAAAAGGUUUUCUUCUUCUUCUUGAUGUUAAUUUUGAUUAAAUUGUUUUGCGUUCUGGGUAUGUUUACAUAAUUUGGUGUUUUUGUUUGAUGGUAAUUCUUUUUUUCAGCCUUAGCUUUAGCUAUCAUGUCAGAAACCUCUACCAGUGGUAGUGGUGGUGGUGGUAAUGUGGCAACUGGAGGAACUACUACUACUACUACUAUCUUAGAAGAUAGUUCAAUCCAUCACCAACUAUUAAUUCUGGAGAAUUGACCCAAGCUUUCCAUUUCUCUUCUGGUAAUCCUAGAAUGAAGAAAUAGAGGAGNNNNNNNNNNNNNNNNNNNNNNNNNNNNNNNNNNNNNNNNNNNNNNNNNNNNNNNNNNNNNNNNNNNNNNNNNNNNNNNNNNNNNNNNNNNNNNNNNNNNAAUUUUAUAUUUAUAAGCACAAUUAGACAAUGACUUAAAUUUCUAAAGUAGUUGAGACUCGAAACUAAUAAAGAAUUUAACCAAAUGUCAAAUUUUGAGGGUUACACACCAAUGUCACUUGUAAUUUUGAGAGUUUCAAUUUCCAAAUUCCUUUUGUUUUUUCUAGGAAACAUAUGUCACUUGCAGUCUUUAGGAAUUAAAGAAAUCUCCAUAUUUUAGGCCACAACUACUUGUGAUCUCAAGAAAUCAAAGCUGCAUAUACUGAUCAGUUUUGAUUCUAGUUGCAUUUUUACUAAUGGUCUAAGCAAUCAAGUUUCUGAACUUAUCAAGGCUCAAAACCAGUAAGAAAAACGACUAAAUAGGAUAUAAGAAAAACAUUAAUCAAAAUGUCAAAUUCGAGGGUCAUGCUUGUACACCAAUGUUCGAACAAUGGUUUACUGCAAAGCUUAUGUUUUGGACUUGGGCUUCCCAUUGAUCGGAUAUUAUGGGGUAGAGAGGUUACAUGUGAAUUUUGAACGUGGGAAGUCAAGUUUCAAACUUGAUGGCAUAUGACUUUUAAGAUGUUCUGAAGUCCAAUUGUUCUAGCAAGUGGAAUGACCGAGGCCAAACCCAGUCAACUGAAACCCAGGUGAUGCAAACAUAAUUGAUAAAACUUUGUUAUGUGGAGUCCUAGUGUAUAUUUUCAAUUUCUGAAUUCAUUUUGUGUUCUGUAGUAAACAUAUGUCAGUUGUAACCUUCAGGGAUUAAUAAAUUUAUUUUCUAACAGGGUAUGAAAUACUGAUACCUACGCUUUAUGAACUCUUUAUAGGUUGGGAGGAAACCACUUGUUUGUGUGCUGAAUGUGCCAAAUCACAUGACUUAUGCUGAUUUCUGCCAAUUUUGUGCCUCGUUCAUUCAACAUAUACUAGAAAUGCGGAUUGUCAGGUUGAACUUAGACAUAAUUGAAUUACGAAAUGAUUUACUCUUUCGCUCUUGAUAUCGAAAUAAAUGACAUUUUUUGGUUUAUGGCUCUAUUAUUCAGGAAUGAUGGAAUGGAGGAUCGUUAUAGCAUUCUGAUUAGGUUUGAUGAUCAGCAAUCCGCCGAUAACUUUUACCGCCAUUUCAAUGGAAGUCGCUUCUCAUCUAUGGAGGUUUCAUUUUGAGAACACUAUCUUUUCAUUUGGCUUGAGAAGUUUUUGUUAAGGAUUUGAAAUAUAUUCACUUUUUCUUCAAAAUACGUUUUGUAAAACUUCAAUAUAAUUAGUUUCCUAUUGGUUUGGAAUCAGGUAGAAGUUUGCCGCAUUCUUUUUACAGUAGAUGUACAGUACACAGGUUCAAUUGAACAUGCUCAGACAUCCCCGGUCAGCUCAACAGAACAGCCCUCGUGUCCAGUUUGCCUUGGUUUGUUCCUUCCCCAUAAAAGUUGGAUAUUGAACAUCCUAGUGUUUCAAGUAUUGAUUAUAAGUUUCAAAAUGUACCCUUAAAUGCACUUGUAUGCUUAACAACUAAAGAAAAUGCAUUCAUUGUUUAAUUUUUUUGCAAUUUACGCAGAGAGACUAGACCAAGACUUGGGUGGAAUUCUCACAACUAUUUGCAAUCAUUCUUUCCAUUGUUCGUGUAUUUCAAAAUGGACAGAUUCUUCUUGUCCGGUAUGUACUUUGUUGGCUAUGGCAUGUUGUUUUUCCUUUUUUUUUAUUAAUAUUAUAUUUCAUUGAAAUUUUUUAAGCAUAUUUGUUAUUGACAUUAAGGCUAAUGCUUCAGUCUUCUUUGAUGCUCACCUUGCUUGAGGCUCUUUUGUGCUUUUCCAAACAUUGAUUGAGAACAGUAAAGCUGUAAAUAACCUUUCUUGGCAAGACUCAUAACAAGUUUUUGGGAAUUGGCUUGAUUUUCCACAUUGCAUUUCAGGUCUGCAGAUAUUGCCAGCAGCAGCCUGAAAGUUCGACAUGCAAAGUGUGUGAAACNNNNNNNNNNNNNNNNNNNNNNNNNNNNNNNNNNNNNNNNNNNNNNNNNNNNNNNNNNNNNNNNNNNNNNNNNNNNNNNNNNNNNNNNNNNNNNNNNNNNGUGGGAUGUGGGAGGUAUGCUAUUCUCCUAGUCUUAACAAACACACAUUUUCGUUAUGUUAUAUGCUUGUGCCCAUGUUUAUCUACUAACCCAACACAUGGGAGAAGGCAUUUGGCAAUUUUGUGUAGUUGUAGUUUAGUUUUUCAGAAAAAAAAAAAUUAGUGUUUGCUUACUGUCUAAAGUUAUCAUCAAUGAAUAAAAGGUCUAAAGUAAAAAUGUAGAAAAACACAGUUGCUCCUGCUGGGAAGUGAAAAUCAAACCUAAGUCUGUUGUUGAUUUUUUUUUUUUUUUUUCCUUUUAUUAGUGUAGCUUAUUGCUCUUAUGGAAAAUCAUUGUAGGUAUAAAGAAGGACAUGCUAUAAGACAUUGGAAAGAAACACAACACUGCUAUUCCCUUGAGUUGGACACUCAACGCGUAUGGAAUUACGUUGAGGACAAUUAUGUUCAUCGACUUAUCCAGUCCAAAACUGACGGCAAGUUGGUCGAGUUGAACUCUCGUUGUAUCCAUGGUGAUGACAAUUGUAGAAUUUGCGGGUGCAGUGCAGAUUUUGGAAUCAGCGAGACUCUUCUCGACAGUAAAGUUGAAGCUGUAAUUUUUUUCACCCUUUGAUUUUUCUAUUCUUUGUUUUACUUUUUAGUUGUUACUUCAGUCCAUUAUUGAGUUUUCAUUUGUUAGGCACUUAGGCUGGUUAAUGAGUUCUAUUUAACUGUUUGUGUUAUAUAUUGAUUUUGACAGAUUGUAAACGAGUACAAUGACCUUCUCAGAUCGCAACUUGAAAGUCAAAAAAUUGUAAGUAUUUCCAGAUUAUCAGAAGGCAACACCUUUUCCAUCUUAUGUUUUGGAAAACACUAAAUUCAUCUCUAAGGCCAAAACUCAAUUAAUCCAUGCGACAAGAAUGAUUCUUUUUUGUUUCAAUUGUAGUAUUUCGAGUCUUUACUUCUAGAAGCCAGGGAGGAAACUGAAAAAGAAAUUUCUGAAGCUGUUAAGAAGGUGAUAAGAUCAAAAGUGCAGAAGAUGCAAGCCAAGCUAGAUAAAUGUAUGAAAGAGAAAAAAUUUCAUGAUGAUGUAAGUGUCUUCUUCUGUUGCUUGCUGGCAGAAAAAAAUAGUGGAAUCUGAUCUGUCAUCCUUGCUCUUAGUAUCUUGGUGGCUCAAUUACCUUUUUCCCAAAUAACAUUACAAUUUCUUCUGAUGUGCAGAUCAAAGAGAAUCUUGAUAAAAACGUGAAGAUGUUGAAGGAUAAGAAAGAGGCUACUGAGGAAAGGUAUUACUAUCUUCAGUUUUACGUGAACUAUAUUUUCUGAUUAAUAGUUGAAUUAUGACUGUGCCUACCUAAAGUAAUACAUUUCCGGCAAUAGUUUCUGAUGAAGAGUCCCUGUACAUCUGGACUCAUUCAGUUUUGUUUUUUUUCCUCUUCUGCUAGUAUUGUCCUCUUGGAUGUGUACUCAAUUAAUAGUGUUGUAAUUCUUGACACCACUCACCCCUCCCAAACUUGCGUCAAGUACUAAACUCAACGUGGAUAACUGAACUCUUCCUAACUUAAGUUAAUGUUAAUUCCUUACGGAGCAAUUUUUAUAGAACUUGACACAUAACAACUUGGCUUCUGAUGAUUUAUGUUGUUGCAUACCAUGUUCAGUCUGCGUAGUGGUUGCAGUCUAAAGUUUUUGUUUCCAAAGGGCUUACAGGGGUUGUAUUUAUAUGCCUAUUUGUUAUACUGGUUUCAACGUUCAAAUAAAACAACACCUUUUGAUUUCAGGGAGAGAAAGGUUUUGAGAUACAAGGAUGAGAAAAUCCAGGUCUUAGAAGAGACGGUAAGACUAUGCAUAUCUGUUGCUAUUAUUGAUUACAAGUUCAAACCGGGCUUCUCAGCUUAUCUGUGUUUAUUAUUAAUGGCAGCUUAGAGAUCUGAUGUCGCAUCUUGAAGCAGUGCCAUAGAACAGCUUUUUGCGACAAAUGAGAUCAGGGAUGGAAUGGUGUUGCCGAUACCAGUUCAAUCCUCCUCAAAGAAUAGUACUCGACGAAAAAAGAAUAGUACUAAAUGCAACAAAAAGAUCAAUAACAUGAGAACAGGAUGCAAUCAGACAUGUAGGUGUCCGAAACAUAUAUCUAAUCUUUCUUUGAACAAAAGCAGCUUAUUUCAGUUCUUCUGUUUCCCUAGGUGAUGAGCUAUGUGAACUAUGUUCUGUAUAUAAAAUCGAUGAAUCUGUGUUUUGGAUAUUAACAUGAAUGUGUAUACUAUUUCUACUGGCUAGCAAAUUCAGAUCAAAGUAUUAGUGUGUGUGAAAGUACAACAUUUGACAUUAUUACCUUCUCUAGCAUCUGGAAUCAUUAUAAAGGUCCUUUCUUAUCAUUGAUCUAUAUUCAUCCGCACUAAUGGCUUCACCGUUUACAGUCACAUUUAAAAAGAUGGUCAUUGCAGCUCAAGAAUGUCCUUAGGCAUUCGGCACUUUUCUCUGUAAUGACAAAUUUUUUGAGGUUAUUCUGGAAUAUUAACUUUGAAAACAGCGAUAUGUAUAUUUCUAUCUACCAAGUACCAACCACGGAAAUAUACAUUUCCUUGUAAAUUAGGCCUACUUCAAAAAUAAGGAAGCCCCAAGGUAUUGCGAACCGGCAAGAGACUUCUGCUAUAAGGAAGAACGAAUGGUGUACGAUGAGACUCAUAGUUCACUUUCCCGAAGCUGAUUACUUCAUCGGUCUGAUCGGUUUUGAUGUUGUAUGUCCUCAAAGUCAGAUUCCCUUUUGUGAAUACAACAUUGUCUUUGAAAGCCAAAGCCUCAACGAAGAAGUUUGGCAUAUUGUUGGAAUCAGGCAAAUGGCAUUUAGUUCCAUCCCAAUUCUCUGGAUCAACUAGUUUAGUCCUUUCAACUACAUGCCGCAAAUGCUUUAAUUCCCAUUCAGGAUUAGAAUAGUCAGAACCACUAAGAAUCCAAACACGAAAUUCAUUUCUGCUGCUGAAAACAUAAUGGAGAUACCCUUCUGACUCGCCUAGGCAAAUCCCCCAAUCACCUCCCUUUCCCAUCACUGGAUUAGGUAACAUAACAAUCAACGCCUUUUCGUUCUUCAAAUCAAAUGUAAGCAUGCUAUGUCCAUCAGUCAACCAGUGAAACACUCCAUUGACAAAAACUUGUUUAUGGAAUUGCAAUCUAUGAGGACAACGGCAUAUUUCGUUUGGGACUCUCCAUGAAUCUGUUUUGGACGAAUAAAUCUUGAAUAUGUAGCAGAAGGAAGCUUUAGACUCUUGUAUAAGCUGCACAACUAUAACUUCAAAACAAAUCGAAGAAGGGUCGCUGAAAGCCAAUGCAACACCACAACGAUCACUGUUUGUAAGAUUUGGAGUUAUGGCAUGGAAUUCCUUUGUAAGAGGAUUACAAACAUAAAUAAUAAGCUCUGCAGGAUCUGGAUUCAUUGUCCUUGUGGACCAAUUAUGAGUCUUUGUACGUCUAAACAGGCUUCGGCAAACAAGCAAACCAUUGCAUGAUGAACUGAUAACAACUUUUUGCGGUAAGAAAUCCAGAAUGUUUUCCUUUACUUUGUGUUUUCCAUCCUUGGCAUUAAUGGUGACAUAAUCAACAAACUCAUUAUCCACAUAAUCUUCGCAACAAUUACUACUACUAGUAGUACAAUAAUGUACUCCUUGGACGAAAACUCCAGACAAUAUGUUCUUUCGCGAAUCAUUAAUAAAGUGAGCUUGGCAAAAGGACUGGCAUGUACUAAGAUCAUACCACAACUUAGACACAGAUUUUGCCGAUGGCACUGACUCAAUAGGCAAAUGUGAUAAGACUUUGGUUGUCAGAUCAUCAUUCAAAACCCAUUCACCACAAGAAAGGCCAUGAUGAUCGUCAUUCCAACGUGUUAUAUUCCACAGAGAUUUCAACAUUUCCAUAGACAUGAUGGACCUAUAAUCCUAUAGGAACCAGAAUGAUGGAUUUAUAUCAUGAUGGUAGCUAGGGAAUUACAAAGUUUUAUACUUUGGUUUCAUCGUGUGGAAAAUGUUUACAAGCAUUUGGCAUGGCACGACUGAUUAUUAUUCCCAGUAAUGCUUCCAGACUUUUUGUUUUCAUACAAACAAGAGAGUUUUUGGACAUACCCCAUUUGAAAAUCGAAAUUUGAGAUACCCCCAUUUGAAAAAUAUUUUGAGAUACCCCCAAUUCAAGACAGAAGAGCUUUACAGCCGUAGGUGAGUUUUAUGAUGGAUUAUGAUGGACGGCUAAGAUAACACCACAUCUUGAAUGGGGUAUCUCAAAUUUCGACUUUCAAAUGGGGUAUCUCAAAUUUCGACUUUCAAACGGGGGUAUGUCCAAAAAUCUCAAAAAAACAAACACAGCUGGGUGCCCUGAAUGAAAAACGACUUAUCAGCUGGGGUGCGCGUAUAAGUGGGGGCACGUUGGCGCGAAAAGAGAGAGAAAAUAAAAAUCAAUCUCGAGGCCAGUUAAGUUGAAGUUGAAGUUGAAGUUGUGAUGCAAAAAACUUGAGAAUCGUUUCUACAUCUACAGUGUUGAAAAACCCUAAAUUUUGAAAAACAGAAUAAAGUAAAUAAGACCCAAUUGAAGCUGAUCUUGAAGAUUCAAUUACAAGUUUACAACAACAAUGAGGUUUGUUUGAUUUCUUUUCAAAACAUGUUAAUUUUGAUGUUAUUAUUGUGAUAUUUCUUUCAAGUAAAAUUAAAGAAAUCCUUUUAAUGUUAUGAUUCUUGCAAUACUGGUUUGGAUGAAUCCUUAAUGAAAUGUUAAUUAUUACUACUUUAUAUUCGAGCGAGCGGCUCGCGCGCUUGUUUGAAUACUAGUUUAGUGCAAGAAUCCUUAACUAUAUGGUGCUACAUUUUGAUUUUUGGAUAAGUGAAAGUUAUUUUGACGAUAAUGCCGAAUGAUACUUAUACAUCACUUUACUAAUAAAAAACUGGAGUACAAUCCCCCCCAAUUCCAUAAUAAACUGUUGCAAUAUCCCUCCCCAAACAUGUGGGACCUAAUUUUCAGUUGAAUUAGUUUGUGGAUCUGGUUGGGGAUUAUAUAUAGGAAUAUAAGAUCAUUCAUUGAUGAUGGGCCAGAGAAGAUGGAGGCCGGGGAGCUGACAUUUCUUUUUUCAGUUGGGUUUAUGUACGAGGUUCUUGAAAGCUAACAGUUGCAAUAAUCAUUGCCUGGCCACCUGGUGUGGAAGGUUAUGCUUUUUGCAUGAACUUUGCCUUGAAAGGAAUAGAAGAAUUUGUUUGAAGAUAAAUGUGCGACUUUGGUGCAGAUGAUUAAUUUCAUCAAAUUUGGGGUUUAGGAAUGCAUCUUCUUUCUAUACUUGUAUACGAACGAAGGAAUAGUUGAUGCAGAACAAUGUUUAUGAUAUUGUAUAGAUAGAUUAUUGUCGAUAGGAUGUAAAGUGUUGGAAAUAAGGGCAAGUAGGUUUUCUUGUAGAAAUAACUACAUAAAGGUAGUUAUUCCUAGCAAUAAUUAACUCUUUUUUAAAUAAAGAGAAAGUAGAUAAAGAACAGUGGUGGCUGCUUGGUAUUUGAUUCGAAGGUCUGGAUAACCUUGUGAACACAAGGGAGACAUUCCUUCAUGCGUAUUCUAGGUACCCUUGCCUGUGUGACGUAGGAAUCAGAUCGCGAACUUCUUACAUCCUGAUUUCAAUUUUUGUGAGGGUUUGUCAAAACUCAAAAGAUAUGCAGCGACUAUUCAGUGAUUUUUAAGAAUCUUUUGAUCCAGGAGAUGAGUGGUAUGUACAGGAAAUCUUUCGCCGAGACCGAGAUCAUUGAUUUUCAUGUAUUGGUUGGCAUCACAGAUUAUCGACUUACAUGUGUUGUUUUGUCUUGUGUUUUCACAUUAUCUGUUGUAAUGGUUAGAUAGAGUCGACGAUUCUCUUUCAUUUGUUUUCGCUUCCACUUCGCCACACUUAAUGGUUUCUUGGGGAGGACGUAACGCCCGCAAUCCACUGAUGUAUAUUCUUGUACUUGUGGUGGUAGUGUGAUCAUCUCUAUCUACUGCCUCUUUGUCAUUUUCACUACCAAACAGGUCAUUAAAUUCCAAUGACCCUCGUCGCGUGAAUUGGAGUGUAAUGACAUUCAGUGCCCUUAGAGCCCAAGAGUGCUUAUGGCCUGCGUGGAUAUACUAUAUCUAAAUAGAGCACCUGUCCCCUUUUUUUUGUGUGGAUAUUACCAACUUUUAAAUUUCCAAUAUUGUGGAUAUUACCAGCUUUUAAAUCACCAUUGGUACAAGUUACAGCUGUUAAAUUUCCAAUAUUGUGUUUUGGAAUUAUUCCAAUCACAAGUGUUAGACUUAACGAUUUCAUGUUGAGAUGGGAGGACUUUAUUUUUCAUGUACACUGAGUGAAUUUCUUUGUAUUUUGGGCUAGUGUGUAACUCACACACUUUUCUAAUGAAAGUUGUGUUUUACCGGUAAAAAAAAUAAAUAAAAAAAAUAAUGAAAGUUGUGUUUUUUAAUAUGCGCGUGGGCAGAGGGGGGGGGGGUUGUGGGACUGGGGGGUGAUGACUAAAUUUGAGAUUUGACCCUACUUAAGUAGCCUCAUUGCUAAGGAAAGAACUAUUUGGGUCUGUUUUAAUACUCAACAUGAGAUCCUAACCAAGUUGGGAUGUCAGUUAGGAACCAAGACCAUUGCAUUUAUAUGCCUUCUUUGUUCAUUUCUUUAGAAAUGAAUGUUUGACCAAGCCACAAAACUACUUAUAGAGCGCCCCUGCCCUUAUACUCUCUUUUUUCAAUAGAUUUUGCAAAUCUUUGGAUUUGAUAAAUAGCUGAUUACUUUAAAAGUUGCAACUUGAACCAAUGGUGAUUUUUGUCUAUUUUAUGACUCGUGAGUAUUGUAUGUAUUUUGUCAUAUUUGUCUAAUACUCCUGUCUAAAUCUAUAUUCUAAGAAUACACUUCUGAUAAAUGAGUACAGUACAAUAUUUCUUUGGCCUUAAAUUUCUGCCAAUUACUUUCCUAAAGUUUUUAUACAGCAUGUCAUGUCAAAAUUUGAUGGCUUUACUUGGUAUACAUUAGAUGGAUUUUAUUAGGCGCUAAUAAAUGCAUUGCAUUAACUUCCAUUUAAUUAAUCAAAUUAGGUAUGUUAAAAGGGAAAAGAAUGGACUUAAUGUCUUAAUACUAUGGAAUCUUUUUAGAUACAUCCUAGAUAAAGCAAAUAAAAAUGAAAAAGUUUAGAUUUUGGGAUCACUUGUUUUAGUAACAUAUCACAUUUAAAUGCUUUGUAUUUGAGAGCAUCGAAUUGCGUGUGAUAUAAAUGAUCCAUGAUCCCAUGGCUGGAGUUGUUUUAUCACAUUCUAAACUAGAUAUGUCAAUCUGUACCAUUGAUUAUUCGAUAACUAUCGGGAUAUACAAUCUAAAAAUCUUCUGGUGUUGCAUAGAAUUAUCUUCCCACGUUUUGAAGCAUUCUUGGGUACAUCUAGUUGUCUAGCAGCUCCAGUCACCCUAAACAAAAAGUUAAGAAAAAUUUGGGGUUUUCUAGCAUUGAAGUGGAAGAAUUUUUUAUGGCAAACUGGGAAGACAGUCUUGGGAGGAAGUUGGGUAAUCUUGCUCUAAAUGAUAAACACAAGAGAUCUGAGGAAUCUGCAAUGAUGCAUUGCAAUAACAGGGUAGUUCAGUAUCAAUUGAGAUCUGAGAACUGCACAAAUUACCCUAGGAAUGGAAAAUGUUAUGAGUUCAAUUACAUGUCUAAUCAUAUAGAUGGAAAUCAGGUUUGUUUAUCGUUUUUAAAGAUAAGGUUUGAUAGAUUCUGAAAUUUAUGCAUUCAAUCUUUUUAGUUUACUUCUGCUGAUUAAGAACAAAUCUAAUGGUGGGAUCCUGUUGACUGAAAAGGGAAAACUAGAUUUUUUCAAGGAACUUAUUGAUUUACUGGAAUUUUGUUAAUCUCAUUUAAUGUUGGUGGAGGAGGUAGUGGGGGUGGUGGUGGUGGUGGUUGGGGAGGAAGAGAGGGAGGGAUAGGAGGUUCAUUUUAUUAAUCUGAGUUCCUAGUUUUUUUUUUCGUGGUUGUUAUCUGCUUUCAUGCAGGCACUUUAUUUGAAUCAAAGGACUGAUUUAGAGAGUCUUUGUCUGUACUCUCUACUUAUUGAUUGGUUGUUCUUUUCGCUUUAAAGGUGGCUUACCAAAAUGACAAUUACAUGGGAGAAUACUCGAGAAAGAUGCAGGCUCCUGAAUGCGAGGUCUCUAUUGCUUCUCACUCUGUUGGUGUUUUCCUCAAAAUCUAUUUUUGCUACUUCUGGCAUAUACACCAUCUCAUUUCAAUGUUUUUUGGUGUAGCCUUUUUUUCUUCUUCUUCUUCUUCUUCUUUUUUUUUCCCUGUAAUUCUAAGUAUAUGCUUUAAUAACUAGAAAUUUGGGUUUUGAAUUAUUGCUGUUCAUAGUACUUGUAGCAUUUGUGUUGACCAGCUUGCCAGGUAGCCGUAUUUUGAUGGAUUUUUUUUUUUAUUUUCAAUCAAUUUUUUUUUCUUCUAAAAAUUACUAGGUAAGAUAAUGAGUAAAUGUUAACGAUACUUGUUCUAUACAUUAUCGCUUUAUAUAACGACUCCUUAUUUUUGGUCCACUUGGAGAUUUGUGUGUUUCCAAAUGGCCAGGACAUAAUAUCCAUUGUUUGAACAACUUCCCCUUGUUGAAAUUAUCUGUUUGACCUAUAUACGAUGAUGCGAUCAUAUGGAAAUGCAAAUAUAUUUCUUUCACAUGUAGUCAUGUAUGUAAACUGGGGAAAUUGGAUUUUGACACUGUAAUAAUAAGAAGUUAAAAGAUGCCAUGGGCUACUUUUUAUGGGACUUUGAGAUUCAAGCCAGCUAAGACCUUACCAGCAUUAGGGGACGUACAACCUUUAUUGAGUUUGUUCCAGUUUGUUUCCAUAAAAACAUUUGUUGGAAAUGCUUGAAACCAGUUCAACACGAAAUCGGGUCCUCAUUCCUCGUGGCACCUAUAUGAAGUUGUAUUGAGGAUCUAGUUGUAAGAGGACCAAUACAUUUGUAUCAAUAAGCUAAAAAUGAGCAGUAAACUUUGUUACACAGACCAAAUUUUAUUAAACUAAAAUUCUUUUUUGUCAUAAAGCUAUUUGGAAAUAGCUGGGCCAUCUAUUCGGCAUGAGACCAGCCAAAGAUCAAUGUACUUUGACCACUUGAAAAAUGGCAGAUUCUCUUCUCGGUCACUAUGAUAUGCUCUUUGCUCUCGCCUCAUGGUCAUAUCAACUUUAUCAUAAAUUUCCAUAGUAGUUGGCUAGUUGUGUGUUGGGGGUAUGAAGUCUCCUUUCGUUUUUGGGUGUGGUAGAUAAUAUGAAUUUUAAGGAGUUAACUUAAUGUUAAGUUCUGUCCUCUGUGUGAUAGAGAGUCAGUUAGUUAGACUCAUGUGUCCUUUCUUGUAGUGGAUUUGCUGUACUAUCUUACGUUAAGCAGGAUAGAUUGGGUGUCUUCUGGUUCAAUGGAAGAUUUACUCGUCUUGAUUCUUGAGAAAUUAUUCCCUGGAGCAUCUGGCUCCAAGGGAACGUUAUACAUGUUUUUAGGCGGAGGCAUGUCUUUGGAAACAUGAUCAUUUCUAUGAAAGAAUCCAUAUUUUAUGUUGAAAGUGAAGGAGUCAGAAUAUUCCUUGCUAAAGAUGGGAUACAUGCAUGGAUGGAUGAGUGUGUGGGAGAUCUGAACGUAGUUAUGUGUAUCUUUCGGGAUAUGUUUAUCCGUGCUUAUGGUAACAGACCCUGAUUUAAUGAUGUGACAGAAGAUGCUUAUGAAGCAGUACAUUUGAUAUCCAUGUUUUUGUGUAUGUGGGAAGAAGACACCGAAAAUCAGGGAUAAUGUUGUUAAAAGGUGCCAAAGAAACACUUACACAUGUAACCAGCAUGUGCUUUAUUAAUAUACAACCUCUCUGCCCAAACAUACCCUUGUUGUUUUCUUUCCUGUUAUGUAAUCAUUCUAUGUAGGACAUUUCUUCCUAUAUUAUCAAUAUAUUUCCAUGAGGGAAGGACCCCUUUAGACUAAGGGGUUCUUGUAGGAUUCUGGGUCUUCAAAGUGACACAUUGUAAUGUGAUGUGGAUAUAUUUUGGGUAAAAUGGGUUGGUUUAGGUGUUUAGGGUGCUGAUAANNNNNNNNNNNNNNNNNNNNNNNNNNNNNNNNNNNNNNNNNNNNNNNNNNNNNNNNNNNNNNNNNNNNNNNNNNNNNNNNNNNNNNNNNNNNNNNNNNNNNNNNNNNNNNNNNNNNNNNNNNNNNNNNNNNNNNNNNNNNNNNNNNNNNNNNNNNNNNNNNNNNNNNNNNNNNNNNNNNNNNNNNNNNNNNNNNNNNNNNNNNNNNNNNNNNNNNNNNNNNNNNNNNNNNNNNNNNNNNNNNNNNNNNNNNNNNNNNNNNNNNNNNNNNNNNNNNNNNNNNNNNNNNNNNNNNNNNNNNNNNNNNNNNNNNNNNNNNNNNNNNNNNNNNNNNNNNNNNNNNNNNNNNNNNNNNNNNNNNNNNNNNNNNNNNNNNNNNNNNNNNNNNNNNNNNNNNNNNNNNNNNNNNNNNNNNNNNNNNNNNNNNNNNNNNNNNNNNNNNNNNNNNNNNNNNNNNNNNNNNNNNNNNNNNNNNNNNNNNNNNNNNNNNNNNNNNNNNNNNNNNNNNNNNNNNNNNNNNNNNNNNNNNNNNNNNNNNNNNNNNNNNNNNNNNNNNNNNNNNNNNNNNNNNNNNNNNNNNNNNNNNNNNNNNNNNNNNNNNNNNNNNNNNNNNNNNNNNNNNNNNNNNNNNNNNNNNNNNNNNNNNNNNNNNNNNNNNNNNNNNNNNNNNNNNNNNNNNNNNNNNNNNNNNNNNNNNNNNNNNNNNNNNNNNNNNNNNNNNNNNNNNNNNNNNNNNNNNNNNNNNNNNNNNNNNNNNNNNNNNNNNNNNNNNNNNNNNNNNNNNNNNNNNNNNNNNNNNNNNNNNNNNNNNNNNNNNNNNNNNNNNNNNNNNNNNNNNNNNNNNNNNNNNNNNNNNNNNNNNNNNNNNNNNNNNNNNNNNNNNNNNNNNNNNNNNNNNNNNNNNNNNNNNNNNNNNNNNNNNNNNNNNNNNNNNNNNNNNNNNNNNNNNNNNNNNNNNNNNNNNNNNNNNNNNNNNNNNNNNNNNNNNNNNNNNNNNNNNNNNNNNNNNNNNNNNNNNNNNNNNNNNNNNNNNNNNNNNNNNNNNNNNNNNNNNNNNNNNNNNNNNNNNNNNNNNNNNNNNNNNNNNNNNNNNNNNNNNNNNNNNNNNNNNNNNNNNNNNNNNNNNNNNNNNNNNNNNNNNNNNNNNNNNNNNNNNNNNNNNNNNNNNNNNNNNNNNNNNNNNNNNNNNNNNNNNNNNNNNNNNNNNNNNNNNNNNNNNNNNNNNNNNNNNNNNNNNNNNNNNNNNNNNNNNNNNNNNNNNNNNNNNNNNNNNNNNNNNNNNNNNNNNNNNNNNNNNNNNNNNNNNNNNNNNNNNNNNNNNNNNNNNNNNNNNNNNNNNNNNNNNNNNNNNNNNNNNNNNNNNNNNNNNNNNNNNNNNNNNNNNNNNNNNNNNNNNNNNNNNNNNNNNNNNNNNNNNNNNNNNNNNNNNNNNNNNNNNNNNNNNNNNNNNNNNNNNNNNNNNNNNNNNNNNNNNNNNNNNNNNNNNNNNNNNNNNNNNNNNNNNNNNNNNNNNNNNNNNNNNNNNNNNNNNNNNNNNNNNNNNNNNNNNNNNNNNNNNNNNNNNNNNNNNNNNNNNNNNNNNNNNNNNNNNNNNNNNNNNNNNNNNNNNNNNNNNNNNNNNNNNNNNNNNNNNNNNNNNNNNNNNNNNNNNNNNNNNNNNNNNNNNNNNNNNNNNNNNNNNNNNNNNNNNNNNNNNNNNNNNNNNNNNNNNNNNNNNNNNNNNNNNNNNNNNNNNNNNNNNNNNNNNNNNNNNNNNNNNNNNNNNNNNNNNNNNNNNNNNNNNNNNNNNNNNNNNNNNNNNNNNNNNNNNNNNNNNNNNNNNNNNNNNNNNNNNNNNNNNNNNNNNNNNNNCCCCCCCCCCCCCCCCCCCCCACCCCUGAUUGAAAAAAUAAAAAACUUGAAUCUUUCGGUUGAUAGAUAAUAAAGUUUCAGUAAUGAUAGUAAGUGAACGCAAUGUGGCACAUCUUUUGCUGGAGUUCAUGUCACUACACCAGUUCCUUGAGGUUUCAUGCCAAAUACAUUCUGAGUGAUCUUGAAGUUAUUGCUUGAUGUGUCAGUAAAUUGUUCGAUACGUCUGUAAUAAAUUAUUAUUGUCUGAGUGAUGACUAAUUACUCUUUGCAUGCUUAUCUAUAAAUAUGAUCUACGUAAAAUUCUUUUGGAGAUGAUGAACGCGACUGUAAUUUUUCUAAGGUGAUGUCAAAUAAGCUUAUAUUAAUUUGCUCUUAUGCUCAAGUAAGUAUUGGGGUUUCCUACGAUUUUACGAAUUAUUUAAGGGUAGGGGGCUUAUCUUUAGAUAUCAUCAUCCUCUGGCAAAAACUUCAUCUGGAUAACUUCUUGUGCUUAAUUAUUUGAUACUCUAAUUCUGAGACUUAUUUUAACUGCUGGAAAUACUUAAUGAUGUGAGAUUAAGAUGUAAGCAUUAUGGUUUUCUAUUAUGUCAUGGCCUUGAAAUACACUGUAAUUCAUUGCAGGGAGAGUCAUUCUACUCCUCCCUUUAUGGAUCCUACAGCAGCGCAAGUAACAGCUGGCCCCAGCAUUCUAAUUAUACUGCUGUGGAGGAAUCGUAUCCUGCUUUGGCAUACAGUAAUUAUGGACUCAGUCCUCUAUAUCCAGCCGGGGCACCACAACAUGCUGUGACGUCAUCUUUGCCGAUUACUGGUCUUGGGGGUUCACCUUGUGUUGGUGCUUCAACAUCAUAUGCACCAUCAGAGUAUUUACCUCUUCUAAGGGUGAGUUUCAAUAUUUAUUGGGAUUAUUUAUGAUAAUAGUUUAAGCUAUUGCUUAAUACCUUUUAAGUUUCAUUAAUUUUAUUUGAUUUCAGUAUGAUACUAUAAUGUCAUUUCACCCCUUAGGCCAUGUGUCCAUGUCAUUUUCCAUCUUUUCUUUCCAUCUUCACCUGCUUCGUAUUUACCAACUAUACCAAGGAGUGACUGAAUUCUAUUAUCACACUAAUUUAAAUUAUAAAAUUCCGAAAACUAUAACAUGACAUUCAUUCUCAGCAACUGCUUAUAAGACCUUUGUCCUUUAUUAUACUUUAAAUUGGCACUGCCUGUUGGCAAGAAAAGAUACCCAUGAAAGUUACCUUCGAUAUCCAGCUAGACACCUCCCAAUAUCUACCUAUGCAAAUGUCAUUUCACCCCUUAGGCCAUGUGUCCAUGUCAUUUUCCAUCUUUUCUUUCCAUCUUCACCUGCUUCGUAUUUACCAACUAUACCAAGGAGUGACUGAAUUCUAUUAUCACACUAAUUUAAAUUAUAAAAUUCCGAAAACUAUAACAUGACAUUCAUUCUCAGCAACUGCUUAUAAGACCUUUGUCCUUUAUUAUACUUUAAAUUGGCACUGCCUGUUGGCAAGAAAAGAUACCCAUGAAAGUUACCUUCGAUAUCCAGCUAGACACCUCCCAAUAUCUACCUAUGCAAAUAAACUUUGGUGCAACAUAGAAACAACUUGGGGACUCAUUCUAGAUAGAGAAACAAAAUUAUCAUAGUUUUGGAUUUCAUUUUCACAUGUCUUAGUACCAAAUAAGAUCCAAAUCUUCCAUAUAAUGGUUUUGUUAUGUGUACAUGGUUAUUUAAGUAAUAUAUAUUCAACGCAAGGGAAUGCUACGAUCUACAGUCGGGGGAUAUUUCCUUAAAUCACUAUCAUUUAGAAAUCUUCUAUAUACACCACUUUUAUGUUACAUGAACAUUUAAGCACUAGGAAUGAUUGCUUCACUUGGCCAGUUACGAAAAUGUGUACUUUUCUGUUGCAUCUUAAAAACCUUUUACUGUUUUGUACAACUUCUCAUUGAUUGUCUUCUAUGAGCCAGUUGGUCUUGACCUAAAGUGGAAGAACUAUCAAAUUCUUCUAUAGAGCAUCCUUCAUGUUAUCUAGUUGUUCUCAUGGAUUGUUGAAAGAGAGAAAAAAAGUCUCCCACACACUUUGAGAUAAGAUCGAGAUAAGUAAUUGAUCCACAUUCUAUCCUAUGUACUCUACCCAAACAGGCAUAGGGUAUCUCCAGUUCUCCACCAUCCCUCUAUUUUUCCAAUUGUCAAAGGUCUGAUCACACUACAAAAGAAUGAGGUCCCACAAAGAGAUCAUCUUCAUCCAUUUCUGAAAGCAAGACGAUGAUCUCAUUUUCCCAAGAGUCUCCAAAGAUUUUUUGGGCCUUGUAUUAAAAUUUAACUAAGAAUACUAAAGCUCUCCACCCAACGCCCUUUAUCGAACGUUCCACAUCUCUAUCCCCAUAAUAAUUGGUUGCCAAAACUGAACAAAGCGCUCAAGCUCUUCAUCAUUUAAAGACUUUAAUAUCGGUCUUGAAAAAUAUUUAGAGUUUAAAAUUCAAGGACUAGGCCAACAGCAUUAAAACAAUUAUAUGUGUGAACUUUAUAUUCUGAAAUUCAAAGUGUCAAGCAAAUACUUCGUAUAUAUUAUGUUUGAAGACAUCAAAUCUGAAUAACUAUAAAAGUCAAAACAAUGAAAACCAUCUUAUUCUGGUUUCAUGGUGUGUUCAUGGAAUCCAUCAUGAUAUCCAUUAACAGUGGCAGAAGGCUUGGUCGAAUCUGUGAUGAUUGAAUCAUGGAACCAUUGUUUGUAUGAGAUCUAGUUGGAAAACGUAAUUAAUUUUGGACUCCAAUUAUUUCUUUUUUGUUGUCUUUGUUGCUCUUUGAUUUUGAUAGCUUAUUUGUCCCCUGCUACCUAAUUAAGCCAUAUUAAGAACCUUUUAUGGAAAAAGUUUGCACUUGUUUGAGGGGCCUCUAAUUCAUUUUCAACAUACUGUAAUUCCUCCCUCAUUGCAACUAAAGAGAUGUUAUCUAAAUCUGGAGGUAUGAUUUCAACAGCUUCUAAAUCUGGAGGUAUGCAUUUUCAGUAGAACAAUUAUAGUAUUCAUAUGAGAAUAGAAAUUAAGCAAUUAAUCACUACUUUGAAAUAGUUCAACAUACGUCGGAUUUGUGCUAUUAUUUGCUACCAAAUUAAGCAUGAGUGCAUGAUUUUAAAAUGGAUUUGAGUAUUAGACAAUGAUUUGGUGUUCAUUGCUGAUCUUACUGGAUAUUGACCCGAGUUCUUAAUCUGAUAAUCAAACUAGUGUCUUCUGUAUAAUAGAGAAACGUGAUAAAAUUAUCGACAAAAAGAGUAGUUUGAUUUUGCGCAAAAACAUGUUCGUUGUGUUAAACUAGUAAUUUGUUUAUGUUUUUUGGUUGAAACAUCAAGUAAUUCUCCCGAAAACUUCAUAUAGAAGGUCAAUUUGACGAAGACCGUUAAAAUUUACAAAAACAUUAUUUAAGUAGAAACAGUUAAAUUGAUGGGGGAGGCAUAACUAAGAUACGACUGUAAGUGUAAAACUUGUGGGGGCAUAUAUAUAAUGGUAUAAGGUGAUGUAUAUGAUGCAUAAGUUGUGCUGACUAUUUGUUAAACUUUUAAUAAAAUUGUUUGUGUGGGAACAUUUGAAUUCUAUUCCAAUGAAAACCACAAACUACAGUCAUUCCAACUUAAAGAUGCCUGUAAUUGUUGACUAGUUGUUGUUUGUUUUAGGCUCCAGAAGAGCAACUGUACCCACCUGAAGGAAACACACGUCCUUCAGUUUUAUGCCAGAUUAUGGAAGAAGGAGAUGAUUCUGAAUGCUAUCAGAAGGAUACUCCAACUGAGGACUCACCUGAGGGUCCUAUUCAACGUGAGUGUCCAUUCUUAGCUUCAUAUGGGGUAUGUCAGAGUAAAUCAAGUUGUAUGUUUCACCAUCCAGAAGGCCGCGUCCCAACAUGUGUUUUCAAUUCUGUGGGUCUGCCUUUAAGACCAGUAAGUGCAUUUCGUUUACUUUGAUUUCAUUCAACACCUAUUUUCGUGCCAAGUGUAUUCAAUGUUCUUAUUUCUGUCCCUUAUAAAUCGAUGUACUUAUGAUGGCAUUAAGAGAGAAGAUAAAUCAUAUUGGGAACGUCUGGACGAGUUGUUUGUGGAACAGGGAAAACAAUUUGGAUUAGGAUGUAAAUUACACUUCCACUUUUACAUAGGAAACCAAUACAAUAUUGGUACCCAAACUGAGGGUCUGAGGUAGUGUUUCCUUAUUGUUCGUAAAACGGGCAUUUGAUCAAUUGAUUGGACCACAGUCACCAAAACGGUAUUAUGAGAAAUUCCAGAUGGGAAAAUAUCUGCAUAGAAUAAGAAAUGACACUGCGAAAUACUUUAAGGGAUGCCUCUUGAUGAAGAGGAAGAUUUUUUUUUUUUUUUCCAAAAAACAGUUGGAUAUACAACAUAUAUAAUAAUCUUGUCUGUUCAUUCCACCUCCUCAAUGCUGUUAAGAACAGGUUCUCCAUCAUAUUCAAGCAACCUAGAGUCCUAGACUGUUCUUAUGACUGAAUAUCAUUGAGGUGUAUUUCCCUUUAAAGUUGUGUUUUUGUGAUGCAUUUUGUGAGUGUUUGAUGGUUUGAGUUUGGUUGAGUGAGACAACUCCCAAGUCCCAACUCACUUUAAGAGAAAUGUUGACUUGAACAUUAAUUAAGAAUUGCUCGAGAACCACUCCUACGCCACCACCAACUUCUAGCUUGAUGUUCCCUACAUUUCUGAUUACGUGACAGAGUACUGUCUUAGAAGUCAAGUACCAUGUCUUAUCAGAAUCCAAUUUUUGGAUCAAAAUUUUCACAUUUUGGAUGGUAGAAAGUUAUAGAUCAAUAAAUCUUUCUUUAGAGUUUAGAAGAACAUAAUCAUGCUCAUAGUACAAAAUUCCAUGAAAGUUUGAAAAUAUUCCCAAUUAUUUCUUUUUCUUAGGAAAUGGAAUGGAUUUGGGUCAGGUACUGGCCGAUUGAAAACCACCCCAUUCCGUGAAUAUACCGUGUAAGAUCUAAAAAAAACAUGGUUGAUAAUGUAUGUGGGAGAGAGAUUCCUAGGUCGAAGUUGAUUAUAUUCUGAUUUAGGAGUCGAACUCAUCUUCCUCUUCUCACCGAUUAGGGUCAUCUACGUCUUUUUUUUCACCGCGGAUUAGGCUAUUAGGGUCGUCUGUUAUCUUCUUCUAUUCACCUCUUAUUUGAUCGAAUGUCUGUUGUCUUUUAGGGUUUAUUAAUUCUGAGCUUUGCACGAAGUGGGAAAGGACCGUGCAUCAUCCAAUGUAGACUACAUCUCACCAAAAACAAAUGUAGACCCAUGGUUAUUGAAUUGAGACUUGUACUUUCUUCAGAUAAAAAGUGUGAAAAAGUAAACUUUUUGCAAAUAACUCGCACUCUGACACAAGAAAUGUCAGUGGAAUGUUUUCAGUUUUGAGGGAUUGAAAUUCCCCAAACCAGUAUUUUCUUAUAUGACCACAAUCUAUCUACCACAUUGGCAUAUCUUGGUAUACCAUCUUUACUUUCUUCGUCUUUGACGGCUUUUGUUUAUUAUUAGAUGCUUCUAAAUGCAAUUCCCUCCAAAACUAUCAAAUGUUAUGCAUGGGAGAAAAAAGAAAAUUAAUCUGUGAUUCCGUGUCUGUAGAUUAAACUCAUAAAUAUAAAAAAUUAGGAUCCCUAUAUGUAGUUGUGCUCCCAUACUACACUCUGCUCAUGGCCUGUCAUGCCACUAUUCCUUGAUACUAAGAAGUAAACCCAGAGAAGAAAAGAAUGGAAGUGAAGGAUGAUACCAUUUUUAAGUUUGGAUGUUGAAGAAUAGAAAUAUAAAACAUGGUAGUGGUAUGAAAAUUUGAAUUACAUAGUUGCUUGCUUUCUUUACAAAAAUAAAAAUAAAUUGUCCUUGAGUUAUCAAUAAGUUGUUAUCAUUUGCUUGCUUUCUUUCAAUUAAAAUAGUCCUCACGUUAUUACUGGUUAACAUGUGCCUUCUCUGACAGGGCCAGAGAGUUUGCCCAGCUUACCGCCUAUGGGGGCUUUGCAUAUCCGGGCGCUCAUGCAAGUAUGAUCAUCCAUGGAAUGGUGAAUCCUCACCCUAUGGUUCUUCAUCAUCUCAGAUGCCCUAAGAAGCAAAGUAUUGAUUAACUGAAGGAUUUAGAACUCCACAUUUGAACCUUGCUCUUGCUGAUGUGAUGUUUAAUUGUUAGCUACACCCGUCCAAACUGUGUCUACAUUAUAUAGACAUGUUUAUCUCACUUAGGGCCUCAGGACAGGACAGGGUUUUAUUUUUCCUUAUUUGCUUCUGUUUGACUGGUAAUAUGGCGUCCUACUGCUACUGUGUUUUGCAGUAAUUGUUGGUCCCUUGGUGGCCUUGGUUAGACUUAUCCUAUUGUGUCAGACUUAUGAUUUCUAGAUUAUGGAUUCUUCCCUUGAUUUUUUUAUGCCUAGUUGUACUCAUGGCAUGCGUGCAUAGUUACUUUCACUUACCAGAUUAUGAUGUUUUCUGUGGAAAACAGCAUGCAUAUAUUGGCUUAAAUGAACCAGACACCCUUCCUUUUUCUCAAACAGGCUUUCAAUUAGAACAAAAAUAGCCCCAAGGUCCCAGAAAAUAAAACUGGGCAAGGUGCUUGCAGGCUUGUGGUUGCUCAUGAUAUCAUUGAUGGAAGAUAGUUUUGAAUUUUUGAUAGCAAAUGAAUAGGAUGACAGAUGACUAAAGACUCAAAAUGGUUAAGCUGUCAUACUUGGCAGAAUUGACAUAGCUUUGGCCUUUGGGACGAGGUGGUAUGUGUGUAGCUGGUAGCUGGUAGCUAAACCUCUCUGAACAGGGCUAAAGGAUGGUGGUCAUGGGAAUAUAGGAUGACCUACCUCAGUCAAGUUCCAGUGGGUUCUUCUUGACCUUCACACAGGUGUUCUGUUGGAUUACCUCUGGAUUCUGAAAGGCGCCGUCAAUCAUUAAUUGCAAUAUAGUUAAGCUGUUAUAUUGGGCAGAAUUGACAUACAGUGAAACCUUCAAAAUGCACACUCGUAGAAGGUGUGCGUUGCGUUUUUAGAUAGGUUUCACUGUAGCCUCGCACCAUCACGGGUGUGAUCAUAGGACUAGGAGGACAUAUUGCCUUGACCGUUUGUCAUUUGCAUACCACUACCAGGCAAAGUGGCAAAUGCUGACAAGAUCAAAUGAGACCAAGAAUCAAGGGAUUACCACAAUCUUUGCUUAACUGAAGUUUUCAAAAUAGAACAACUCUUAAGUCGCAAGUCUUAACCCUAGUAGCUUUUCUCUCUCUCUCUCUCUACUAGGGUUUGCAAAGGUUAUUUUUCAUGGGAUUUCAUUUCCAUACCUUGGUUGCACUACUAAAUUAAACCUAAAACCAUUGCUUAAAUCUCCUCAUUCAUUCAUCGAAGAAAUCAUCUCAAUCUGCAUUUCUUUCAACAUGGUAUCCACAAGAAGACAACAACAACAACAAGAGGCGAAGAAGAAAAGAGAAGAAACAUUGAAAUCUAUUUACAGCAGUAUAAGAAAAAGAGGAAAAACACUAAGUUCUACUCUUUCGAACGACGUCGCUAGCGGUAUUCUUUCAAGAGUACCUGUGGAGGAUCUCUUACAAUUUCAGUUUGCAUGUAAGUCUUGGUAUACUUUACUACAUGAACCUUUUUUCAUUAAUCUGCAUCUUAAUCAGUCAAUUAGCAACAAGAACUUUGCUUUCAUGGUUCAUAAUUCUUCGACUGAUAUAUAUUCGGUAGGCUGUGAUAUCUCAUCAUCAUUGUUUAAGUUGAACAAAGCUGUCAAGAUUAAUAAUCCAUUUAGGGCAUUUCAUAUCUAUGGUUCAUGUAAUGGGAUAUUCUUGAUGGUUCGUAAUUUGAGUAAUGUGUAUAGAGUAUGCCUGUGGAAUCCAUCUACUGGAGAGUACAAAGAAAUAUCGAACCAACUACCAAAAAUGCCGGCAAAUCCUUUUUUGAGAAUGGAAUAUUGGUUAGGUUAUGAUUUAUCAAGAGAUGAUUAUAAGGUGAUAAGAAUGGGAACCUAUCACAGAGGUACUAUUACUGAUGUAUAUGUGUACUCAAUGAGAACAAAUUCAUGUAAGAGGAUUCAUGAUGUUCCUUAUUUUGUUCUUGGAUUAGUGGCAUACCCACAUUUAUCCAGUGGCGGCGGGAUACUUCUAAAUGAUGCAAUUCAUUGGUUAGGGAAUCCUGUAUCAAAUGCAAAUGGAUUCUUGCUGACCAUUGUUUCUUUUGAUCUUGCCAAUGAUGAGUUCAAAGGCUUACAACUUCCUGACGUACUCCUCGAUACUGAAUCAAAGCGAUUAGGAGUGUUUGAAGAUUGUCUUUGCAUUUACCAUGUUAAUAAGGAUAGCUACAUUGAUGUCUUUAUGAUGAAAGAAUACGGUGUGAAAGAGUCCUGGACAAAAAUGUUUAGCAUAAAUGAUCAACCAAUUCAUCAAGAUAUGAGGAGCUUCAAAACAAUAUGUAUUACCAACAACGGAAAACUUCUGGUGCUGUGGAACCAUACAUAUUUAGCUCUGUAUGACCCAAAACAUGGAGGGCGUAAGUGUGGGAACAUUAAGAUAGAGGGACUUCCAGCAAGAUUUGAGGGAUAUGGCAGCAUUGGUGCUUAUGUUAAGAGCCUUGUGUCACUCGGAGCAAAUACUUGUAAGUUAUAAUUUUAAGCAUAAAGUAGGGUUCACUUUUGGAGUAACUAAAGUAGGGUUCUUCAUAUUUCAUUUUGUAGUAUCAAAUAAAAUUUUCAAGAAUCAGAAGGACAUUCAUUUUCUGUAUAAAUUUCCAUGAAACUGUUGAUCAGCUUAUUGCCAGAGCAGCAAAUUGGGUAAUAUGCAAUUCAGUCAGUGCAGGAAACACCAUACCAUCUUCUCAUG